Molecule: long non-coding RNA, 893 nt
Filed under: Homo sapiens (human)
Lineage: Eukaryota; Metazoa; Chordata; Mammalia; Primates; Hominidae
Description: non-protein coding lnc-MGLL-3:1
Source: RNAcentral
GAUAGUGCCAUUGCACUGCAACCUGGGCAACAGAGCAAGACUCUGUCUCAAAAAAAAAAAAAAAAAAAAAAAAAAAGAAAAGAAAAGAAAGGGAAGAUGAGGGCAGAAGUCAAUGAAAUGAAAAAAAGACAAACAAUAGAGAAAAUCAACAGAAACAAAAGUUCUUUGAAAUGACUAAUAUAAUUGAUAAAUUCCCUCAUAACAUGAUAGAGAGAGAGAGAGAUUAAGGGAGAAACAAACAAAUCAAAUUAUCAAUUACCAACAUCUCCAAUGAAAAGGGGGGCAUCACUGCAGAUCUUAAAGAUAUUAAAAGGAUAACAAGGGAAUAUCAUGAAUGUAUUGGAAAUGGAGAAAAUCCUUUGAAAAACACAACUGCAUAAAUCUGACAGAAGUAAAAAAAAAUCUGAGUAGUCAUAUUUGCUAAAGAAAUUAAAUCUAUAAUUUAAGACCUUCCCACAAAGAAGGUGACAUUUUAUCAGGAACCUGAAUAACAUGAGUAUCUUAGGCUGCCAUAACAAAUUACCACAAACUUAGUGGCUUAAACAACACAAAUAUAUUAUCUUACAGUUCUGAAGCUCAGAAGUCCAAUGAGGGUAUUACCCGGCCAUGAUCAAGGUGUUGGCAGGACUGCAUUGGCGGAUGGAGUCCCUCUCAUGCUUUGACUCAGUCUCUCUCCAAUUAGUGUCUACUUUCUGACUUAGCCAGGAAGAUUUUCUGCUUUUUCUGUCUUCAAGGAUUCAUGGUUACAUCGGGCCCACCCAAUAAUCCUGAAUCAGCUCCCCAGCUUGCCUGCCACAAAAUAGAUAGGAGGGAGGGAGGCAUGUGGCUCUCUGGGGAGAGGGUAUUCCAGGCAGAGGGAUGCAAAGUGCAGACUCAGUCAGGGCCACUGUGUC